RNAcentral lists this long non-coding RNA (1502 nucleotides) under Numida meleagris (helmeted guineafowl). Its description in RNAcentral is "lncRNA (ENSNMEG00000017808.1)". Lineage: Eukaryota; Metazoa; Chordata; Aves; Galliformes; Numididae. The record is from RNAcentral.
UGAGCACCAAGUGAGAAGGCACGGCUAACUCAGGGGGCUCAGGUGCAAGCAGUGCACCUCAGUGACCAUAAGGGGUGGAGCCAGGGUCCUCCCCUUCUCACCCUCAUUUAAGGGUUAGCAGCCAGGGGAGCAGCAUCUCUCUGAAGAGAGGUUGUACUCCUUUGAGCCAUUACUGGCUGUUGGAAGGAGUGAGCUAGUUUUAGUUUAUUUUCUUCUAUUGCUCCAUAGUGCUUGUAUCCUAGUUGGAGGCACUGCUAUCACCUUCUUUUUCUGCCUAGGUACCGAAGAAAAAGAGGGUGACAUUCCUAGCUAUCAGCUGUCCUGUUUUCUUUCAUUGUGGCAGGUUUCUGAGGUUUCUGCUGCACCGAUCACUCUCUUGGGAACGGAAAGGCCCCAAGCUGUUUCAGUGCUCACUGGAACUCCAAAGGGUUUGCAUUAUAAUCACAUGGCAAGAAGGCCUUUCAAUUGGUGCAGUUGCCAGGAAGCUCGCAGUGAACAAUAGGACACAUGGCCAGCUGGGAUUUACUAGACACUUCCAAAACAUCGUUAUUUCCAGUUCGAAAUGCUAUCCACUGUGAAGUCAAAUCCCUGCAGUGAGACUGCUGAGACUUUGCACUUUGCCAGAGUAAAGGCGCUGCCCUGAUCGCAUGUAGUCCAACUGGAGCCAUGUCUGGGAGAGGAAACCAAGCGGAGACAGGGCGGGCUGGAAACUCUGUCCCUGGUCGUUGUGUUCACGGCUGCUAUAAAAAGACUUGAGUCAAUUAUGAAUUUUGUCAGAACAUUAUCAUAGAGAUAGAAGGAGAAGGUCACUUUGAAAAUAGCUCCUAUUUAUUUGUCUGUCGUUGCUCAUAAGAAAUUAUGCACAUGCACCAGAUGCUAGAUUGACUGUGCCCUUUGUUCAUAACAUAGGCAAUUAAAACAAAAAGAAGAAUGCCCGAGUGGUAUAGUUUUAAUAAUCCUGAAGAUUAGCUACUAAUCCCAAACCAGAAUGAAUUUUCCAACAGCAUGACUUGUAGAUCUCUGUCACUAUAAAUCUUGCCUAGUGAACUCCAUUACCCCAAAGAACAUCCAUGGACUGCAGAAAAAAACCAAGAUCAGCGAUAGAAAAAGAUAAAACAUUGUCUGGAAGGUGUUGUAUUGGCAACUUGUAAAUAUCAGCACACUACACUCAGCUCUACUUCUACUCAUACUGGCAAGGUAAAUAGCUUUGAGAAGGUAAACAUCCAACCAUCGUUGUUUCUAUUUACUUCACUUUCUGUUAGAAUCAUAGAAUCCUUAGAGUUGGAAGGGACCUUUAAAGGUCAUCUAGUCCAACUUCCCUGCAAUGAACAGGGACACCACAGCUAGAUCAGGUUGCCCACGGCCUGAUCCAGCCUCACCUUGAAAGUCUUCAGGGACGGGGCAUCAACCACAUCACUGGGCAAUCUGUUCCAGUGCCUUACUGCCCUUACUGUAAAAGACUUUUUCCUUAUAUCAAGCCUCAAACUACUCUCUUUAAAUUU